This 253-nucleotide ribosomal RNA is filed under the name uncultured bacterium. RNAcentral's name for it is "partial 16S ribosomal RNA". It matches the Rfam family "Bacterial small subunit ribosomal RNA", at positions 524 to 776 of the family's 1533-position model. The record is from RNAcentral.
UACGUAGGGGGCAAGCGUUAUCCGGAUUUACUGGGUGUAAAGGGAGCGUAGACGGAAUUGCAAGUCUGAUGUGAAAAUCCGGGGCCCAACCCCGGAACUGCAUUGGAAACUGUAUUUCUAGAGUGUCGGAGAGGCAAGUGGAAUUCCUGGUGUAGCGGUGAAAUGCGUAGAUAUCAGGAGGAGCACCAGUGGCGAAGGCGGCUUGCUGGACGGUGACUGACGCUGAGGCUCGAAAGCGUGGGGAGCAAACAGG